Molecule: long non-coding RNA, 1392 nt
Filed under: Olea europaea subsp. europaea
Lineage: Eukaryota; Viridiplantae; Streptophyta; Magnoliopsida; Lamiales; Oleaceae
Source: RNAcentral
CGAAAAUAACUCAGUUUGUAUCAAUUAUCAUCAGGCCGUAUGUUGACUUCUGGCAGGAAGUAAAACAUCACCCCUUUCAAUAGGUAGAAAGGGAGCAGCUUGUUAAAGAAAAAUAUUUGUUGUCUAUUCGUAAAUCCAAAUAAAUGAAAUCUAUGUCUAUUAACAAAAUAAAAGAAAAAAAAUUUAAGAGAACCCAAAGAAAGAGCUACUGUUCUGUAGUUCCAUAUCGUCCCCAUCUUGAAAAGCAGACUUCCCCCUGAAAAUUCCAAUCUGAAUAAAGAAAUUCACAUGGGCUUCAACAAUCCAGUGCCAAUUUGGGUUUUCGGCCUAUCGGAAAAGAGUAGAAUAAGCCGGAAGGUAUCGUUUUCCUUAAUUUUUUCUUUAGGUUAGGGAUAACCGUCGCUGGCCACAAAGAUGACCUGAAACUCCUCGGGGACGCCAUCGAUUCGCUACCUCCUCUCGCGGUAUAGGCGUGUUCUUGCUUUCACCCUCUUUUUUCUCUGGUUUACCAUCUAUACAUUUUUUUCCUUCUCCAUCUUAAGAUCCGGGAAACGAGUGCUUGAUGCGCUAUGAGUUUGCCUUUCAACUGAAAAAUGUAAUAUAUCCAUGUCAACAGAAGAUAACAUACUGAGAGAGAGAGAAAAUACGAAGGUUUAUUUUGUGUCAAAUACUAUUAAUUUCACUGAUUAAUAAUGAUUUCUUAAAGAUUAUUAACUAUAAAAAUCUUCAAGUCCAUUAAUUAACCAGAUCAUGGUCAUAAAUUUAACUGUCGUUUAUGAACAGGCGUGUUCUUUCUGAAACUGAAAACUGAAAAGACACGAAAACGGCAACAGACACCCUUUCAUCAUCUAUAAAUAGAUGAAAAGAUUUGGCCUUUUACAUCAGUGUAUUAGAAUCAGUUCUUACAAACAUACUUUCUUCAUCAUCUUUGCUGUUAAUAAUCAAGAUUUUUGGCAAAAGCACACAAUGGCUGCCAAUAAUAGGAUUCUGAUUAUCGCCAUCAUUAUGUCCGCAUUUUUUCUGAUGGCAAUGGCAGAAGGGGCGGAGAGAAAUACGAAUGCAAAUUGCAUGAUAGAGUGCUAUUCCGAAUGCAUGCAAAUCGAUAUUUUUACGCACUGGGAUUGCGAGAGCGGGUGCAGAGUUGCCUGUGCAAGAAGACACACAAGGAAAGUAUCAGUGGAUGGUCAAAAUGGGUUCCUGCCUUCGUGGGUUUAACAGUCAUCACAAAACUUUAUCACAUUUUAAUGCGUAAUCUUUUCAUUUUAUCUGUCUUUGUGAGAGAAAGCGGUCAAGUUCGGGUUUGUAGUAGAUUUUCCGGAGUUUUGAUAUGACUUUAUACAAUAACAAAGUGAAUGACUGUCUUCAUUUUCCUGAUAUAUCAGACUGGUUUGG